ACUGUCAAAGGUCAUACUCGAAAGAUCAUUAGAGUAGAUUUCUGCUGGUUACUUGAUCAAGACGGUUUUGGCCGUCGGUC
This 80-nucleotide small RNA is filed under the name Sinorhizobium meliloti 2011. RNAcentral describes it as "putative ncRNA". Lineage: Bacteria; Pseudomonadati; Pseudomonadota; Alphaproteobacteria; Hyphomicrobiales; Rhizobiaceae. The record is from RNAcentral.